GAUGAACGCUGGCGGCGUGCCUAAUACAUGCAAGUCGAGCGAACAGACGAGAGUGCUUGCACUCUCUGAUGUUAGCGGCGGACGGGUGAGUAACACGUGGGUAACCUACCUAUAAGACUGGGAUAACUUCGGGAAACCGGAGCUAAUACCGGAUAAUAUUUAGCUUCGCAUGAAGCAAUAGUGAAAGACGGUUCUGCUGUCACUUAUAGAUGGACCCGCGGUGUAUUAGCUAGUUGGUGAGGUAACGGCUCACCAAGGCAACGAUACAUAGCCGACCUGAGAGGGUGAUCGGCCACACUGGGACUGAGACACGGCCCAGACUCCUACGGGAGGCAGCAGUAGGGAAUCUUCCGCAAAGGACGAAAGUCUGACGGAGCAAUGCCGCGUGAGUGAAGAAGGUUUUCGGAUCGUAAAACUCUGUUGUAAGGGAAGAACAAGUACGUUAGUAACUGAACGUACCUUGACGGUACCUUACCAGAAAGCCACGGCUAACUACGUG
RNAcentral lists this ribosomal RNA (499 nucleotides) under uncultured bacterium. RNAcentral describes it as "partial 16S ribosomal RNA". It matches the Rfam family "Bacterial small subunit ribosomal RNA", at positions 28 to 507 of the family's 1533-position model. The record is from RNAcentral.